RNAcentral lists this long non-coding RNA (1449 nucleotides) under Homo sapiens (human). Its description in RNAcentral is "HSALNT0309264". Lineage: Eukaryota; Metazoa; Chordata; Mammalia; Primates; Hominidae. The record is from RNAcentral.
GUCCCUACGCCUCUUCCAUAUGAUAUCAUCCCAGUUCACAAGCCACGAUAGCAUUUGCCACCAUGAUAUCUUUCAGUUGUAUGCUCCAAAGAAUGCAAAGAGUCAACAGAGGAAUAAUACUGGGAAGAGUAGUAGGAAGAACAGAAUGGGGGGGGGAAAUGACUAUUACUACCCUAGUUUUCUUCCUAGUGAAACUGCUUUCCUCAUGUCAUUUAUCUGCCUAGAAAUGUCAAUGGCUUCCAUUGUCAAGAGUAUUAAGUCUACAUAACUUCAUCUGUAAUGGAAACAUAUGGAACUUAGAGCUACAUCUGCCUUUAUGAUCUCAUUGCCUACAAUUCUCUCAUAAGAACUCUGGGCUCUCUCAGCUUAUGGCACCCAUCCUAUUUCUGAUUCAAAUUGAAAGAUGAUUUUUUUCUUAUUCAAGACUCCUAGGUCUCAUUCCAAAGAUGAAGCAUGCCUGCUACUUUUGAAAAUAUGAGGAAUUCUUUUGAUAGCUGUUUGUACCCAGUUUCUAAGAGCCUGAAGAAAUGACAACACAACUUCACAAAGCCAUGCUUUCAUAAAAACCGUAAUGACAAGUCUCCUUUCCUCCUCCACCUCCAGUUCUUAGACUAAGAUCCAUUAGCCACUCAGAAAUAAAAUACAAAUUGAAUAACUGAGGCUUGAUAGAGUUACAUCACUUGUCCAAAGAGAUAAUGCCAGUGAAUGGAAUAGCCAGAUCGAAUUCCAGAAUCCGUAAAGCUCCACUGCUUCUCUCUGAAUCUAUGAGCCUGAAACAGCAGAUUCAGUAGAACAGAGUUUCUCAGGAAUGGCAGAGCCACAAGUUGGGAGGAGCCCAGCUCUGUCCAACAACCUGGAACAUCCAUCAACCAGGAAAACUGUUGCACUUUAUGUGAUUAAGAAACAUUUUUUAAGGAAAAAAGCAGUAAAUUUUUGGGUUAUAUUUGUUGCAAUAGCUGUGUUACUUUCCUAAUGCACAAUCACAAAUGUAAAAUGCCACACACAGAGUGUGAGGAAAUAUAUUGCUAUUGGACUACUUGUAGUCUAUUUAAUUUUUUUAUAUAGCUAUAGCCAGAUCUGGGGUGAAAUGGUUUAGAAUAAUAAUUUCCAAUAGUAUACAUCAUACCUUUAAAAAGACUUUUAUGGAUGGAUAAAUAUCUAAUUAUGGAACUGCCCUGCAACGUAAGUGGUGAGAGAAACUCUUUAUAUAUGCUUUGUUUUUUUCUGAAUGCAUAGGUUCAGAAUUAUUAAACAAAUCCUCAUCUUUUGACAGCCAGUAAUCAAUUUCUCAUUUGCAGGGAAUCUAAUUGCAUUAGAGGGGACACUGGGGAAGUUAUGGACUACCUCAUCUUUCUACUAUAAAAAAUGAAACUACUUGUCUGUAUUGAAUUUGAUUUUAUAUGUUCAAUGAAAUAUAUCAUAUCCUUAUAAUAAAGUUAUAUAAGUUGC